This 452-nucleotide ribosomal RNA is filed under the name uncultured bacterium. RNAcentral's name for it is "bacterial SSU rRNA". It matches the Rfam family "Bacterial small subunit ribosomal RNA", at positions 64 to 507 of the family's 1533-position model. The record is from RNAcentral.
GAACGGUAGCACAGAGAGCUUGCUCUUGGGUGACGAGUGGCGGACGGGUGAGUAAUGUCUGGGAAACUGCCCGAUGGAGGGGGAUAACUACUGGAAACGGUAGCUAAUACCGCAUAACGUCUUCGGACCAAAGUGGGGGACCUUCGGGCCUCACACCAUCGGAUGUGCCCAGAUGGGAUUAGCUAGUAGGUGGGGUAACGGCUCACCUAGGCGACGAUCCCUAGCUGGUCUGAGAGGAUGACCAGCCACACUGGAACUGAGACACGGUCCAGACUCCUACGGGAGGCAGCAGUGGGGAAUAUUGCACAAUGGGCGCAAGCCUGAUGCAGCCAUGCCGCGUGUAUGAAGAAGGCCUUCGGGUUGUAAAGUACUUUCAGUGAGGAGGAAGGCGAUGGAGUUAAUAGCUUCGUCGAUUGACGUUACCCGCAGAAGAAGCACCGGCUAACUCCGUG